AAGAGACAGCAGUCGCCACGGUAAUACAGAGGGUGCGAGCGUUAAUCGGAUUUACUGGGCGUAAAGCGUGCGUAGGCGGCUUUUUAAGUCGGAUGUGAAAUCCCUGAGCUUAACUUAGGAAUUGCAUUCGAUACUGGGAAGCUAGAGUAUGGGAGAGGAUGGUAGAAUUCCAGGUGUAGCGGUGAAAUGCGUAGAGAUCUGGAGGAAUACCGAUGGCGAAGGCAGCCAUCUGGCCUAAUACUGACGCUGAGGUACGAAAGCAUGGGGAGCAAACAGGAUUAGAUACCCCGGUAGUCCCUGUCUCUUAUAC
This 310-nucleotide ribosomal RNA is filed under the name uncultured bacterium. RNAcentral describes it as "partial 16S ribosomal RNA". It matches the Rfam family "Bacterial small subunit ribosomal RNA", at positions 503 to 807 of the family's 1533-position model. The record is from RNAcentral.